Molecule: ribosomal RNA, 253 nt
Filed under: uncultured bacterium
Lineage: Bacteria
Description: partial 16S ribosomal RNA
Rfam family: Bacterial small subunit ribosomal RNA
Source: RNAcentral
UACGUAGGUGGCGAGCGUUGUCCGGAUUUACUGGGCGUAAAGGGUGCGUAGGCGGAUGUUUCAGUGGGAUGUGAAAUCCCCGGGCUUAACCUGGGGGCUGCAUUCCAAACUGGAUAUCUAGAGUGCAGGAGAGGAAAGCGGAAUUCCUAGUGUAGCGGUGAAAUGCGUAGAGAUUAGGAAGAACACCAGUGGCGAAGGCGGCUUUCUGGACUGUAACUGACGCUGAGGCACGAAAGCGUGGGUAGCAAACAGG